ACUCCUACGGGAGGCAGCAGUGGGGAAUUUUGGACAAUGGGCGCAAGCCUGAUCCAGCAAUGCCGCGUGCAGGAAGAAGGCCUUCGGGUUGUAAACUGCUUUUGUCAGGGAAGAAAUCUUUUGGGCUAAUAGCCCGGGGGGAUGACGGUACCUGAAGAAUAAGCACCGGCUAACUACGUGCCAGCAGCCGCGGUAAUA
Molecule: ribosomal RNA, 198 nt
Filed under: uncultured bacterium
Lineage: Bacteria
Description: partial 16S ribosomal RNA
Rfam family: Bacterial small subunit ribosomal RNA
Source: RNAcentral